CGGAAAGCUGACUUAAAGCCUCCUGUUAGCCACAUAACAAAUAUAUCAGGGGCAACAAUAGCACAGAGUUCCACGUAAAGCCCAACCAGGUGCCACAGCCCUGACUUGGAGAAACCACCUCUGUGGGGAGAAGAUAGUUCAGUCUCCGUAGCUCAUUCAGUCCUUGGCCUCU
Molecule: small RNA, 172 nt
Filed under: Chrysemys picta bellii (western painted turtle)
Lineage: Eukaryota; Metazoa; Chordata; Testudines; Emydidae
Description: TUC338 (ENSCPBG00000025980.1)
Source: RNAcentral